AAUAUACACAUCAAGUUGUCAUACGUGGCCAUAAAUUGAAGGCAAACCUGGCGGCGACGACGAGGAAGAGCACUACCAACCCUCCCGAUAACUCAGCCUUGGUCGUGGACAUCAAACACUUCCCUGUCAGACGUAUUACCCUCGUACAUUUACUCUUUAUGGCCUCGCCUUGCAGUGCAGUCCAUCACGGCCUCAGGUGGUGAAAGUUACGACUGCUCAAUUGGCGCUAAAAAGACAUGAGUUCAAUUCCAUAAUGUUGGCAGUCCGGGACGAUGGGGAGGGAGAGGGAACGACCACGGUCAGUCCCUCUGUGUGGGUAUCACCGUAAAAUCUACCAUCAUCCGUCGCGUCCGUGGUGAUUACAGUGUUUUAUGGCGGUGCCGCGUGUGUCCUGUGCCUUGGGGAGCAGCGGGUGUCCUGCGGCGGUGGCCAGAUGCCGGACGGCGCCACUAAACAGACACGUGUUGAACAUUAUCUGGUCAACGGAGACACGUGACCUACCCGGAAGUCUCGCCUCUGCUACAAUGACCAAAGUCUGUCCCUGUGACCCUUGACCCGAGUCCAGGAGGUCAGGACGUGAUGGCAUGAGAGAGCCAACCACCAACCACCAACCACCACAACUAACCAACCUACCAACCACCAACCAGCGCCUACAUAUACGUACAUGCACAUACAUAUUACAUACAUCCUCAUACAUACGAAAUUUCCCCGCCGUCUCCACCACAAAGAAAAUUCAACGCGAUUGCCUAACCCGCCCUUGCCUUCGUCGUUAUUCCCGCGCCCUGUAACUCACUACGAGGUCGCGGCCGAUGCCAAAUUCCGCUGGUGUUUUUACGAGGUCAUUUUCAUGCGUCGGGGUUGCGUUGCAUGCGAGUGUGGAGUGAUCGUGGUGUGAGAUGUACGAGUGUGUGCGGCCUAGUGUGUGGACUGUUGAUGGCGUUAGUGAGAGAGAGAGAGAGAGAGAGAGAGAGAGAGAGAGAGAGAGAGUACCACCUAUACAGGAUAUUUCCAUUUCCAACUGCAUCCCUCGAAGUGUAAAAACAAAUUCAAUCCCAAAAAUAUCAUAAACGAAGUGAAGGGAAAGACAAAAGAGGGGAAAAAAAAAGGAAUAACUGGAGAUAAGAAAAAGGGAGAGGGAAAUAGACUAAACGUUGUGUGUGUGUGAG
Molecule: long non-coding RNA, 1166 nt
Organism: Portunus trituberculatus (swimming crab)
Lineage: Eukaryota; Metazoa; Arthropoda; Malacostraca; Decapoda; Portunidae
Exons: 3
Source: RefSeq, a predicted model, not a curated record